Rhipicephalus microplus (southern cattle tick) is the source of this 142-nucleotide long non-coding RNA. The record is from RefSeq and is a predicted model, not a curated record. NCBI's taxonomy places the organism in Eukaryota, Metazoa, Arthropoda, Arachnida, Ixodida, Ixodidae.
ACCAAGAGUCAAUUGCGUUUGAUCAAGCAUCGUCCCUGCGUCAUCGUCUGAGCCACGUCUUCAUGCCGUCUAGCCAAAGCCUGGUGGCCGAAGUGGUCCUGGUGGUGGACGCCAUCGAAGCCAACGGCAAAACCGAAUCCAG